This 523-nucleotide ribosomal RNA is filed under the name uncultured bacterium. RNAcentral's name for it is "bacterial SSU rRNA". It matches the Rfam family "Bacterial small subunit ribosomal RNA", at positions 791 to 1315 of the family's 1533-position model. The record is from RNAcentral.
UAGUCCACACCGUAAACGCUGUCUAUUAGCUGUGUGUGAAUUUAAUUCGUGCGUAGCGAAGCUAACGCGCUAAAUAGACCGCCUGGGGAGUACGGCCGCAAGGUUAAAACUCAAAUGAAUUGACGGGGGCCCGCACAAGCGGUGGAGCAUGUGGUUUAAUUCGAUGCAACGCGAAGAACCUUACCUACUCUUGACAUAUCCAGGAUUUACUAGAGAUAGUUUAGUGCCUUCGGGAACUGGAAUACAGGUGCUGCAUGGCUGUCGUCAGCUCGUGUCGCGAGAUGUUGGGUUAAGUCCCGCAACGAGCGCAACCCUUGUCCUUAGUUGCCAGCAUUAGGUUGGGCACUUUAAGGAGACUGCCGGUGACAAACCGGAGGAAGGUGGGGACGACGUCAAGUCAUCAUGGCCCUUACGAGUAGGGCUACACACGUGCUACAAUGGCAAGUACAAAGGGAAGCGAGACGGUGACGUUAAGCGGACCCCUUAAAGCUUGUCGUAGUCCGGAUUGGAGUCUGCAACUCGA